UUGAACGCUGGCGGCAGGCCUAACACAUGCAAGUCGAGCGGUAGCACAGAGAGCUUGCUCUCGGGUGACGAGCGGCGGACGGGUGAGUAAUGUCUGGGAAACUGCCUGAUGGAGGGGGGUAACUACUGGAAACGGUAGCUAAUACCGCAUAACGUCGCAAGACCAAAGAGGGGGACCUUCGGGCCUCUUGCCAUCAGAUGUGCCCAGAUGGGAGUAGCUAGUAGGUGGGGUAAUGGCUCACCUAGGCGACGAUCCCUAGCUGGUCUGAGAGGAGGACCAGCCACACUGGAACUGCGACACGGGCCAGACUCCUACGGGAGGCAGCAGUGGGGAAUAUUGCACAAUGGGCGCAAGCCUGAUGCAGCCAUGCCGCGUGUGUGAAGAAGGCCUUCGGGUUGUAAAGCACUUUCAGCGAGGAGGAAGGUGGUGAGCUUAAUACGCUCAUCAAUUGACGUUACUCGCAGAAGAAGCACCGGCUAACUCCGUGCCAGCCGCCGCAGUAA
This 503-nucleotide ribosomal RNA is filed under the name uncultured bacterium. RNAcentral's name for it is "partial 16S ribosomal RNA". It matches the Rfam family "Bacterial small subunit ribosomal RNA", at positions 29 to 523 of the family's 1533-position model. The record is from RNAcentral.